AUACUGCUGAGGAGUCCCACAAUAGGACGAAACGGCCGUCAAGUGU
Molecule: non-coding RNA, 46 nt
Filed under: Schistosoma mansoni
Lineage: Eukaryota; Metazoa; Platyhelminthes; Trematoda; Strigeidida; Schistosomatidae
Source: RNAcentral